AAGCUCGGUGGCCUUUAAAGAACAUCCAUGGGCACUGAAGCACAUAAGGAAGCUAUGGAACCCAAGUCGUUGUCAGGUGUCUGAAAGGGAUAGUCUUUGAAUAUCCUAGAUUUCCUUUGAGUUGGAAUCGGCUCAACAGUAACAGGUUUGGUUUUUUGUUUUAUACUUGAAGACCUUCCCUACAUGUAAAGGCAUGAACAUAUACAAGUUUUAUAUGUCUUUACAGGGACCCCCCAAGAGAAAGACUUCUCCCAAUUAACACGGCCAAGAAGAUUUCCUUUUCUAAGAAUUCUUUAGCCAGUUAGUAGGCUUUCAUUUGAUAGUUUUCUUCUCAGCCAUAGGGGAUCAUGAAAGGGGAUCAUCUCUCAGUUCUUGGGAACUACAUCCAAAUAUUCUAGUUAACAGAUAUCUUGUUUUUAAAGUCUGGAGUCUCUUCUAGGUAAUAUGAUGACAUUAUUUUUAUAACUUGCAUUGUUGGGAAAUUAUUUUUCAUAAUUAUUGCUAAAUUCAAAGAGACAGGUAAUGUGUGGCAUUGUUGUUUUGCAGAGAAUUCCAAAACAUUGUAUUCUGUUAUUCACGUGUCUCCCAAUCUUCUUUCAGACAGAUGUGCCCUUAUUUUUAAGUGCAUAGUGUUAACAGUCCUUUGGAAGGUUGCUGGCUGAUCUUCAGUGAUGCUUUUUAAUAAUUAUGUUAUUUUGAGCUUGCCAAGUAGAAUUUAUUGUCUGGACUAAAAUUUAUUUCCUAAUCUUCUGACGACCAAGAGAGGAAAAAUUAAAUUUGCAGAUGUGAGAUGAAAUCUAGCCAGUGAAUAUGCAUACUGAUUCUGAAUGAAAGGAAUCAACUUGUGUUUCAGUAGGGGAACAUAGGCUGCAUGCAGUAAAUUGAAUUUUUCCUCCAACUGGAGCAAUUUAUUUAAUUCUUAUUUGAACACUGCCCUUUCUCCAUUAAGAACACUAAUGAUUAGCUAAUUUUUUUUUUUUUUUUUAAGAAAUCUGUUUUUUUAGUUAAGCUCAGGAUUCUUCAGAUGUUUUUUAUCCUGGAGAAGACUGUUGAAAGAGAGCGGUUUAACAGUAUUCUUUGAAAAUAACUUUUUUAUUGUUAUUCAAAACAAUACAUGCUCAUUAUAUAAAAUUUUGAAGCAAAGAGAAGAAAAUAAAAACCACCCAUAAUCCCACCACCUAGAGAUAAGGGCUUUUAGACAUAUUUUCUUCCAGUUUUUUCCAUGCAUACACAAACACGUAUAUUUAUAAUUUUAUUACAAAAAAUGGGAUUCUGCUAUGUUAUAAAACAGUAUGUUUUUAUAAUUUGCUGUUUCCAUUUAACAACAAAUUAUAAAUAUUCUUAAGUUACUUAAUUAGAACCUUCAUUAAACAUAUUUAUGAGUAAAAUACUAAAUCUACACAAAAGAAAAAUGGAAUGACAUCUUGGUUCAUUCAUUUACUCAUUUUUUAAAAUGUGUAGCACAUUGCCUCGUUUGUAGUUAAUGCUCAGUAAAUGUUGAAGACUCAUCACCAUCAUCAUUAUUAAUUUAUUCAUUAGUCAUUAUUAAAUUAUUUAUUGCUUUAUUAAGAACCCUACUAUAUACCAGGCACUGUGCUGUAAACUGGGAAUGCCAAGAGUGUAAGAUGAAGAGGGAAGUGAUGGGAUUAAGGAUAUAAGACAAAAGACAAUAUCAAAUCACAUUAAGAAACAGGACAAGAUGGCUCCAGCAAGCAACCAAAAUAAAGAACUAGAAAAUUUUCUGGAGGAAGAUAAGGCAACAGAAACACCUGAUAAACAAUCCAAAAGACUAAUAUACACAGCUUUCCAAGAGAUCAGGGAAAACACAGCAAAACAAAGGAAAACACAGACAAAGCAAUAGAAGAAUUCAGGAAAACAAUACAAGAACAAAGCAACAAAACUAAUAGACAAUUAGAAACCAUACAAAAACAGCAAUUAGAAAUCCAAGCAAUUAACAAUAUAAUUUCGGAAAGAGACAACUCAAAAGAAGGAUCCAAACUUACUGCUGUUGAGUCGGUUCCAACUCAUAGCAACCCCAUAGGGUUUCCAAGGUUGUAAAUCUCUACAGAAGCAGAUUGCCACAUCUUUCUUCUGUGAAUAGAAGGACAUAAGACAGAAUUGGUGAAAUCACUUCACCCCAUAUUGUUUGAGGAAAAAUCAGAAAAAGAAUGAGGAAAAGUGAAGAAAGCCUAAGAAUUAUGUGGGACACUAUCAAGAGGAAAAACUUACAUGUGUUCAGAGUUCCAGAACAGGAGGGAGCACUGUAAAACACAGAGUUGUUGAAGAUUUGUUGGCAGAAAACUUCCCGAAUAUCAUGAAAGACGAGAAGAUACCCAUCCAAGAAGCUCAACAAACCCCAUACAGGAUAAACUUCAAAAGAAAGUCACCAAGAUGUAUCAUAAUAAAACUUGCCAAAACCAAAGACAAAGAAAAAAUCCUGAGAGCAGCUAGGGAGAUAAAAAAAAAAUCACCUAGUAAGGAGAAUCAAUAAGACUAAGCUCUGAUUACUCAGCAGAAAUCAUGCAGGCAAUAAGGCAAUGGGAUGACAUAUAUAAGGCCUUGAAAGAAAAAAAUUGCCAGCCAAGAAUUAUAUAUCCAGCAAAACUCUCUCUCAAAUACAACGGUGAAAUUAGGACAUUUCCAGGUAAACAGAAAUUAAGAGAAUUUGUAAAACCAGACCAAAAUUAAAGAAAUAUUAAAGAGAAUUCUCCAAAUGGAGUACGAACGUCAGACAACAAUCAAAGAUUAGGACACAGGACAGAUCAAACAGACAUCAGCCCUGAUAAAGAAUUAUCAAAAAUAAAGCUAAAAGACUGGAAUAGGGAUCCAGACACCUCAACAUGUAAACAAUGACAUCAAAACAAAAAGAAGGAAUGAACAGUGUAGUUACAGAACAUCCAUAUAGAGAAGUCAAGGCAAUAUCAAGAAAUAAAAGACUGGUUUAAACUUAGGAAAAUAAAAUGUAAGUUUCAAGGUAACAACAAAAAAGAAAAGCAUAGACACAGUAAACACACAAUCAACAAUAAUGAAAGAAAUAAAAAGAAAAUCUGUAAACAAAAAGAACUCAGCACAGAAAAUUAAGCAGAACAAAGAAACUGUGAACACCCCAAAAAAAGUACAAAAUGACAGCAGUAAACUCAUACCUAUCGAUAAUUACACUGAAUGUAAAUGGCUUAAAUACAGCACUUAAGAGACAGAGUGUGGCUGAAUGGAUUAAAAAACCAUGAUCCAUCUGUAUGCUGUAUAUAAGAGACACACCUUGGACACAAAGACAUUAAUAAACUAAAACUCGAAGAAUGGAAAAAAAUAUAUAUCAAGCAAACAGUAACCAAAAAAGAGCAGGAGUGGCAAUAUUAAUCUCUGAUAAAAUAGCCUUUAAGGCAAAAUCCACCAUAAAAAAUAAUGAAGGACAUUAUAUAAUGAUUAAGGGGCCAACCCACCAGGAGGACAUAACCACAAUAAAUAUGUAUGCGCCCAACAACAGGGCUCCAAAAUACAUUAAAAAAAUUCUGACAGCACCGAAAAGAGAAAUUAAUGGUUCCACGAUAAUAAUAGUAGACUUCAACACAACACUUUCGGUGAAGGACAGAAUAUCUAGAAAGAAACUCAAUAAAGAUACAGAAGAUCUAACUGGCACAAUCAACCAACUUGACCUCAUAGACAUACAGGACACUCCACCCAACAACAGCAAUGUAUACAUUCUUUUCCAGUGCUCAUGGAACAUUCUUCAUGCCACAGAGCAAGCCUCAACAAAAUCCGAAACAUCAGAAUAAUACAAAGCAUAUUCUCUGAUCACAACACCAUAAAAGUACAAAUCAAUAACAGAAAUAACAAGGAAGAAAACCAAAUAUAUAGAAACUGACCAACACCUUGCUUAAUAACCACUGAGUAUUAGAAGAAGAAAUCUAGAAGAGAAUCAAAAAAAUUCAUAGAUUCAAAUCAGAAUGAAAACACAUCAUACCAAAACCUUUUUGACAUAGCAUAAGCAGUGCUUAGAGGUCAAGUCAUAGCCAUAAAUGCAUACAUCAAAAAAGAAGAAAGGGCCAAAAUCAAAACAUUGACCCUACAACUUGAACAGAUAGAAAGAGAGCAGCAAAAGGAGCCCACAGUCACCAGAAGAAAGGGCAUAAUAAAGAUUAGAGCAGUAAUACAUGAAAUAGAGAACAGAAAAACAAUACAAAGGAUCAACAAGACCAGAAGUUGGUUCUUUAAAAGGUUCACCAAAAUUGACAAAACCACUGGUCAAAUUGACAAAAGAAAAGUAGGAGAGGAAGCAAAUAACCUGAAUAAGAAAUGAGAUGGGUGAUAUCAUAACGGAAUCAAUUGAAAUAAAAACGAUCACAACAGAGUACUAUGAAAAAUUGUACGUGAACAAAUUUGAGAACCUAGAGGAAAUGGACAAAUUUCUAGAAACCCACUACCUACCUAAACUAAUACAAACUGAGAUAGAAAAACUAAACAGACUCAUAACAAAAGAAGGGAUUAAAGUAGUAAUUAAAAUAAAAAAAAAAAAACCUCUCAACAAAAAAAAAAAGCUGUGGCCCAGAUGGCUUCACUAGAGAAUUCUACCAAACAUUCAGAAAAGAGCACAAACCAAUAGUGCUCAAACUAUUUCAGAGCAUAGAAAAGGAAGGAAUACUCUGGAAUUCAUUCUGUGACACCAGCAUAACCCUGAUACCAAAGCCAGGGAAAGAGACAACAAAAAUUUUUAAAAAGAGAAAAGAAAGGAAAAUUUCAGAUGGGUAUCCCUCAUGGAUAGAGAUGCAAUAAUUUUCAAUACAAUUCUAGCCAAGAGACUUCAACAGCAUAUCAAAGAAAUGAUAUAUCAUAACCAGCUGGGAUUCAUGCCAGAUAUGCGAUGAUGGUUCAACAUUAGCAAAUCAAUCAACGUAAUCCACCACAUAAAUAAAAGAAUCACACGCUCAUCUCAGUCAAAACAGAGGAGGCAUUUUAUAAAACCUGUCCUAGGCUGGGUGCUCUAGAAAAGCAAAACCAGUCAAGUGUAUAAAUAUGUACAGAGUGGUUUAUGUCAAGGAAAUGGCUCACGUGGUUGUAGAGGUUGGAAUGUGCCAAAUCCAUGGGUCAGGCUGCAGGGGCUGGCGAACCCAAGAUCAGCAAGUCAGACAGCAGGCCUCUGGCUCACAGGCCGUGGAGACCAAUGAAUCCAAAGAUUGGCAGGUGUUAUGCAUUGAAUUGUGUACCCCAAAAAUGUGUGUCAACUUGGAUAGGCCAUGAUUCCCAAUAUUGUGUGCACGUCCACCAUUUGGGGACUUCAUACCACCAAGAAACAAGAGCCAGGAGAAUAGGUCCCUGUAAUGAGAAGUUCCUCCACCAGGAAGAUUGAUGACAAGGACUUUCCUCCAUAGCUGACAGAGAGAGAAAGCCUUCCCCUGUAGCUGACACCCUGAAUUAGGACUUCUAGCCUCCUAGACUGUGAGAGAAUAAAUUUGUCUUUGUUAAAGCCAUUCACUUGUGGUAUUUCUAUUACAGCAGCACUAGAUAACUAAGACAGCAGGCAAGGAGGCAGGUAAGCUGCUAGCUCAAGUCCCAAGAACUGGAGGUCAGAUGAGCAGGAGCCAGCUGCAGGAUCCAGAGCAAGCAAAAGCCCAUGAGCCUUGCCACCUUUAUUGGAUGCAGGGUACAUUCCUAAGGAAACUCCCUUUUAACUGAUUGGCUGCUCACAGCAGAUCCCUUCAUGGAGGUGAUCACAUUAUAUCAGAUCUCAUUGUGGAGGUGAUUACAUCAUUAUACAAUUGUCAAACUACACCAUAGCUGCCAAACAACUAAGAAUCGUGGCCUAGCCAAGUUGACACACAACCUUAACAAUCACAAAAGCCCUCAGCAAAAUAGGAAUAGAAGGGAAGUUCCUCAGCAUAACAAAUAGCAUUUAUACAAAACCAACAACCAACAUUAUUCUCAACAGAGAGAGACUGAAAGCAUUCCCCUUGAGAACGUGAACAAGACAGGGAUGCCUUUUACCACCAGUCUUACUCAACAUUGUGCUGGAAGUCCUAGCUAGAGCAAUAAGGCAAAAAAAGAAAUAAAGGGCAGCCAAGUUGAUAAGUGUCUUAGUUAUCUAGUGCUGCUAUAACAGAAAUGCCACAAGUGAAUGGCUUUAACAAAGAGACAUUUAUUCUUUCAUGGACUGGGAGGCUAGAAGUCUGAAUUCAGAGUGCCAGCUCCAGGGGAAGUCUUUCUCUCUCUAUUGGAUCUGGGGGAAAGUCCUUGUCAUCAAUCUUCCCUGGUCAAGGAGCUUCUCAACACACAGACCCCAGGUCCAAAGGACGUACUCUUCUCCUGGCUCUUGUUUCUUGGUGGUAUGAGGUCCACCUGUCUCUCUGCUCGCUUCUGUCUUUUAUAUCUCAAAAGAGAUUGACUUAAGACAAAACCUAAUUGUAUAGAUUGGGUCCUGCCUCAUUAACAUAACUGCCUCCAAUCCUGCCUCAUUAACAUCAUAGAGGUAGGGUUUACAAAACAUAGGAAAACCACAUCAGAUGACAAAAUGGUAGAUAGUCUCACAAUACCGGGAAUCAUGGCCUAGCCAAGUUGACACACAUUUUGGGAGGACACAAUUCAAUCCAUAACAGUAAGAAAGAAGUAAAAUUAUACCUAUUUGCAGAUGAUAUGGUCAUAUACAUAGAAAAUUUCAAAGAAUCUAUAAGGAAGCUACUGGAAAUAAUGGAAGGGUUCAGCAAAGUAGCAGGAUACAUGAUUAACAUACAAAAAAUCAGUUGGAUUCCUCUACACCAACAGAGAAGUUCAAAAAGGAAAUCAGGAAAACAAUACCAUUUACAGUAGCUCCCUAAAAGAUAAAAUACUUAGGAAUAAAUCUAACCAGGGACACGAAAGAUAUGUUCAAAAAGAACUAUCAAAGAUUGCUACAUGAAACCAAAAGAGACCUAAAUAAACAGAAAAACAUUUCAGCCUCAUGAAUAGGAAGACUCAACAUUGUGAAAAUAUCAGUACUACGCUAAGCCACCUACAGAUAGAAUGCAAUCCUGAUCCAAAUUCCAACAGCAUUCUUUAACAUGAUGAAGAAACUGAUCACAAAUUUUAUGUGGAAAAGGAAGAGGACCUGGAUAAGUAAAGCAUUAUUGAAGAAGAACAACAAAGUAGGAGACCUCACACCACCUGGUCUUAGAACCUGUUGUGCAGCCACCGUAGUCAAAAGAGCCUGGUGCUGCUCCAACAGACACACAGACCCGGGGAAGAGAAUUGAGUGCCCAAAUGUAAAUCCGUCCACCUGUGGUCAGCUGAUCUGUGACAAAGGACCAGGUCUGUUCAAUAGGGAAAAGAAAAUCUCUUCAACAAGUGGUGCCAAUGACACUAGACGUCCAUCUGUAAGAAAAUGACGCAGGACCCACACCUCACACCACACACAAAAACUAACUCAAAAUGGAUCGAAGACCUAAAUAUAAAACCUAAAACAAUAAAGACCAUGGAAGAAAAAAUAGGGACAGUGCUGGGGCCCUAAUACAUGGGAUAAAUAGAAUACAAGCCUUAACUAACCAUGCACAAACACCAGAAGACAAACCGGAUAACUGGGAGCUCCUAAAAAUUGAACACUUACGCUCAUCAAAAGACUUCACCAAAAGAGUAAAAAGAGAACGUACAGACUAGAAAAAAAAAUUUUGGUCACAACAUAUCCGACAAGGGUCUAAUCUCUAAAAUAUAUAGAAUACUUCAAUGCCUCAAGCACAAAAAGACAAAUAAUCCGGUUUAAAAAUGGGCCAAGGAUACGAAUAGACACUUCACCAAAGAGGAUAGUCAGGAAGCCAGGAGACAUGUGAGGAAAUGCUCACGAUCAUUAGCCAUUAGAGAAAUGCAAAUCAAAAACACAGUGACAUACCAUCUCACCCAGACAUUACUGGCACUAAUCCAAAUUAAAAAAAUAAAGCAGAAAAUAAUAAACAUCUGAGAGGUUACGGGGAGAUCGCAACAGUUAUGCACUGCUGGUGGGAAUGGAAAUGGUACAACCACUAUGGAAAACAAUAUGGCAUCUCCUUAAAAGCUAGAAAUAGAAAUACCAUAAGAUCCAGCAAUUCCACUCCAAGAAUAUACCCUAGAGAAAUAAGAGCUGUCAAACAAAUAGACAUAUGCACACCCAUGUUCACUGCAGCACUACUUGAAAAAGCAAAAAUAUGAAAACAUGCUAAGUGACCAUCAGGAGAUGAAUGGAUAAAUUAUGGUACAUACACACAGUGGAAUACUAUGCAACAAUAAAGAACAAUGAUGAAUGCAUGAAACACCUCACAACAUGCAUGAAUCUGGAGCAUGUUAUGUUGAGUGAAAUAAGUCAAUCACAAAAGAACAAAUAUUGUAUAAGACCUGUAUUAUAAAAACUAAAGAAAAGAUUAAAAAAAAAAAAAAAGAACUAGAUGGUGCCCAGCUGCCAACACCGACUGCUCUGAGAGUGAUCACUAUCAAUAGAGGGUCCCAGGCAGAGCAGGAGAAAAAUGGUAGAACAAAAUUCAGAUUCACACACACACAAAAAAGAUCAGACUUACUUGUCCUACAGAGAGUGGAGGAACCCCCAAGACUAUGGCCCCCAGACACUCUCCUAACUCAGAACUGAAGCCCCUGCCAAAGCCCACUUUUCAGCCAAAGAUUAGAGAGCCCUACAAAACAAAACAUAACACAAGAUAAAUGUGUUUCUCAGUUCCAACAAAUGUCUGGGACUAAAUGAGCAACACCUGCCCAGAAGCAAAGACGAGAAGGUAGGAAGGGACAGGAAAACUGGACGAAUGGACACAGGGAACUCAAGGUGGAAAGGGGGAGAAUGCUGACACAUUGAGGGGAUUGCAACCAAUGUCACAAAACAAUUUGUGUGUAAAUUUUUGAAUGAGACACUAAUUUGCACUGUAAACUUUCACCUGAAGAUCAAAAAAAUGAAAAAAUAUAUAUGCAGAAAUCUCAAGAAGAGUAUACAGGAAAAAAUAAUGCUUCUUCCCAUCCCGGACUCCUCCUUUCCCUCCCCUGUGCUGGUGAUUGAAACCAGUUUUUCUCGUGUCCAUCCAGAGAUACUCUAUGCCUAGGCAACCACUUACUCAUCUAUAAAUACCCUUUUAAAAAAUACAAAUAGAUGCAUACAGCUCAUAGUGUUCCUCGUCGUGGUUUUUUCACUGAGUUCAUUAUGCAUAUUCAUAUUAAUACAGAAAGAUCUGCUUCCUUUUUUAAUGGCUACAGAGAGUUCCGUUGUAUGAUGUGCCUUCAUUGAUUUAAUUGAUUCCUUGCUGGUGGGCAGUAAUGCUCACUGAUUAGCUAAGGAUUGUCAAAACCUCAUAGGCUGACAUUUCUCCUAAGUAUUUCCUGAAUAAUUCUUCUAGGGUUCUUGUAUGCCGGCAAGGUUGAGAACUAAGGCUGAUAAAAAAACAGAGUAGACUACUUGAAUCCUCAGGGACAGGGCAGGUAAGGUAAUAAUAGAGGACACUGUGGUUCACUGGUAAGAUUCUCGCCUUCCAUGUGAGAGAUUGGGAUUUCAUCUCUAGCCAAUGCACCUCAAGCAUAGCCAUCACCUGUCUGUCAGUGAGGUUUGCAUGUUUUUUUUGUUUUUUUGUAUUUUUUUGUGGCUGAACAGAUUUCAGCAGAACUUUCAGACUCAGAUGGACUAGGAAGAAAAAACUGGUAACCUACUUCCAAAAAUCAGCCAGUGAAAACCCUAUGGAUCGCAACAGUCUGAUCCACAACCAGUCAUGGGGGUGGUGCAGGACCAGGCAGUGCUUCAUUCCAUUGUACGUGGGGUCGCCAUGAGUCAGGGGUUGACUCAACAGCAGCUAACCAAAACAACAGUAGUUAAAAGAGAUGGUACCUUUGCCGUCAGGACAGUGCUGUAGGCCACUAGGAUUGGAACUUGUAUUCCAGGAUCUUUCUUUAGCUUGGUGUUCCCCUGCUCCCUGCACUGUGCGGGCACUUGGUAAGUGUGUAUUAAGCGGGUACAAAUGAAUGAAUGUCCCUGCCCUGUCAGUUUAACUGGGGAGAUGUGCUCCCAUUUAAGGUUUACUCAUUAUGCAUUCUGUCUGGCAGCCGUUUCCUGUUUUACACAUUGACAGGGAGGAGGGGAAAUGUCAGUGUGCCUGUGUGGUGGGGAAGCAGCCACAGUAAUGACAUCUGUGUCUCUCUGCUCAUGGGGCUGGCUCAGCACACCCUAUUCCUCCUGCCCACCCCUCUCCCUUGCUGUGGUGGGUACUUGUGGCCUUGGGUUGACACAAAUUAAAUCCAAGACCUAAGUGAGGUCCCAUGAGCUUUAUAUCCCCAUAGUAGAGUGUGUUUAAGGCAACGGGUUUUUUAAAAUUAAAUCUGAAAAGCACUCUUGUGCCUCUUAUUACUUUUCAAGGGCCAGAGCUCUCUGCUUUGAUUCAGCUUUCUCAUGUAUUAGCACAAAACUAAGAAGUACGGAGAAGCAUAUUCACUUCCCAGGGGCUGCCGUAACAAAUUACCACAAACUGGGUGGCUUCAAACAGCAGUAACGUAUUCACUCACAGUUCUGGAGGCCAGAAGUCCAAAAUCAAGGUGUCCUUAGGUUGGUUCCUUUGGGAGACUGCAAGAGAGAAUCCAUUCCUUGCCUCUCUCCGAGUUUAUGGCGGCUGCCAACAUUCCUUGGUGUUCUUGACUUGCAUCGCUUCAGUUUCUGCCUCCGCCUUCACACAGUUUUCCGCUUUGUGUCUGAGUCUCAAAUCACCCUCUCCUUUCUCUUAGAAGGGCACCAGUCAUUGGGUUUAGGGCCCACCGAGGUCAUCCAGGGGCCUGGUGGCGUAGUUUGUUAAAGAACUCAGCUGCUAACCAAAAAGGUCGGCAGUUGGAAUCCACCAGCUGCUCCUCAGAAACCCUUUGGGGCAGUUCUGCUCUGUCCUAUGGGGUCACUGUGAGUUGGAACCAACUCAAUGGCCAUGGUUUUGGUUUAGGGUCGUCCAGGAUGAUCUCAUCCCGAGAUCCUUAGUUUAAUUACAUUGACAAAGAUGCCCAUUUCCAAAUAAGGUCGCAUUCACAGGUCGGGAGGUUAGGACUUGGGCACACCUUUUGGGGGACGCUAUUUAACCCCCCACCCCACCCCCAACUCCUAGUGACCCCAUAGGGUUUCCAAGGCUGUAAACCUCUAUGGCAGCAGACUGCCACAUCUUUCUCCCAAGGAGCCGCUGGUAGUUUCGAGCUGCCGACCUUUCAGUUCGCAGUUGGUCCCUUUAGCCACUGUGCCCCCAGGGCUGCUUAUUUACCCACUACAGGAGGGAAUUUUUCAGUUUACUGAGCAGGUGAUUCAGAUCAAGGGACAUAUUCUGAGUACCUGCUAUGUGCCUGACUGCCGAUCACAGGCAGGCUUGUUAGCCCAUUUCACCCUCAAAAACCUUGUGAGAAAGAUACUUUUUUUCAGAAGGGGAAACAGACUCAGGGAGGUUAAGUGACUUGCCCGAGGUUAGGAGAGUUAGGAAAUAGUAGGACUGGAAUAUGCCAGCUCUGGCUUUUCAUUUAACUACAACUAAAAUCUCUGUAGGGAAGGGCACAGGAAGAAAAAGUAUUCUGCUAAUACUUUCAAAUAAAUAAAGCUUAUUGCUGACAUUAGGAAUCAGUAAUUACUUAAAAAUCAAUUAAUGUGACUAUUUCUAGUACUUACGAAAAACUGAACUGAAGUUUCACAUUUGCCAAAAAAAAAAAAAAAACCCCC
Molecule: long non-coding RNA, 11656 nt
Organism: Loxodonta africana (African savanna elephant)
Lineage: Eukaryota; Metazoa; Chordata; Mammalia; Proboscidea; Elephantidae
Exons: 2
Source: RefSeq, a predicted model, not a curated record